This 85-nucleotide transfer RNA is filed under the name Myxococcales bacterium. Its description in RNAcentral is "tRNA-Leu". It matches the Rfam family "tRNA". From Rfam's summary of the family: Transfer RNA (tRNA) molecules are approximately 80 nucleotides in length. Lineage: Bacteria; Pseudomonadati; Myxococcota; Myxococcia; Myxococcales. The record is from RNAcentral.
GCGAGCGUGGCGGAAUUGGCAGACGCACUGGAUUUAGGUUCCAGCGGGGUAACCCGUGGGGGUUCGACUCCCCCCGCUCGUACCA